Molecule: small nucleolar RNA, 78 nt
Filed under: Gossypium hirsutum (cotton)
Lineage: Eukaryota; Viridiplantae; Streptophyta; Magnoliopsida; Malvales; Malvaceae
Also listed under: 5 other names
Source: RNAcentral
GAGCAAAUGAUGAAUGAUAUUAGUGUAUGACUGAUGUAAUGAUGCUUUUAUAAUCGAGCUUUUUAAAACUGAUGCUCA